UGGUGAGAAAUAGAGCCCCAUGGUUCUCCCACGGCAGAGAUCCUGCCAGAAAGUAAAUCCUAAGGGUAGUCUGGAACGGUAUGCAAGUAAGGGCUGCAUCUCCAUCAGCUCUGGAGAAGUGUUUGCAGUCAUCCGUCAAGGUUCACGGUCUGAAACCUGAAUCCUGGAGGACCGCUGUAGAGGGACAGGGUGUGUGGUUAAUUUCACAGCUUGAGAAAGUGCUGAAAACAGACCAUGUAAACAUCUUUUUGUUGGAUGCGGGGAAUUCCCUGUGACUGAAGCAGUGACCUCCUAAAGUUUGCUUCUGAAGCUACAAGUUCAGUUCAGUCACUCAGUCGUGUCCAACUCUUGGAGACCCCAUGAAUCGCAGCACGCCAGGCCUCCCUGUCCAUCACCAAUCCCAGAGUUUACUCAAACUCAUGCCCAUCGAGUCGGUGAUGCCAUCCAGCCAUCUCAUCCUCUGUCGUCCCCUUCUCCCCCUGCCCCCAAUCCCUCCCAGCAUCACGGUCUUUUCCAAUGAGUCAGUUCUUUGCAUCAGGUGGCCAAAGUAUUGAAGUUUCAGCUUCAGCAUCAGUCCUUCCAAUGAACACCCAGGACUGAUCUCCUUUAGGGUGGACUGGUUGGAUCUCCUUGCAGUCCAAGGGACUCUCAGGAGACCCAGAAGCAAAUAACUGUUAAGAUGUGACUUUGGGUGCAACCAGCAGAUUUGGGGUACACUGCAGAGCAAACCAGACCAGUAUAUGGCCACUGAUUGUUGAGUGUGGAACGUAGGGCCCAGUAUGGAAGGAUUUUGGAGCCCCUGAUAACAGUUCAGUUCCCAAGAAAUGAGGAUAAUGAAAGAUAAAUGUCCAUGUAUAGGCACUGGUUUUGGUUUAAUAGUGGUGGUGGGAGAAAGACUCAUCUUCAGGAGGAGUGACUGAAGGUUGGAGUGUCAGGAGAAGUGAGUGGUGCAUGUGGUCAGAGACAAUGUGAUUUAGUGGGAGGCUCUUUGGACUUGGGAGCGCUGGGCCAGCCUGCCUGGAAAAAUCGGCCCCAGACCUGGGUAGGCAUCUGGUUCUAGUCGUCAAAGCAGAGGGAUGGCUCUGGGCUUGUCUAGCACGUUCCACUUAGGCAGAGGCAGAUUCAAGAUGCAAUUUAGAAAACCAUGGCCACGUGGUUAAAACUGGAAGCCACUGGGGAGGAAAAGUGGGUGCACAGUUCCAGUUUGGAGAGCUCUGUUUUUCUUAAGCUUUCCUGGACACUCUUGUGGGUGGUCUCUUUAGCUGCGUGUGAAUCUCAGGAGCAUCACUGACUUGGAGUCUGUGUGCUGAACAACUUCUGGGUGCAGGAUUCAUCCAGCAGAAAACUUUGAUGGCGAUGACAUCAUCACGCUUCAGAUAUGCAAUCCCAGCCUCUUUUUAAAAGCUAUUAAAAAUCCUACCAGGUGGACGAAGUUAACUGUACGCUGCCCAGCAGGUAGACCCCAAACCAGUUGGAACCAGAAGGUUGAUGACGCUGACUCCUGAUUACCUCACCACCAACCAAUCAGAAGACUGUCUAUGAGUUGAUCACACCCUCCUCUUUGAACCAUUGCUAUGAAACUCCUCACUCCCUGCUCCAGGUGGCGACACAGUCUAGAGGGCAUUAGCUCUCUGAGGUCCUCUU
Molecule: long non-coding RNA, 1644 nt
Organism: Dama dama (fallow deer)
Lineage: Eukaryota; Metazoa; Chordata; Mammalia; Artiodactyla; Cervidae
Exons: 4
Source: RefSeq, a predicted model, not a curated record